GAUGGCGACCGGCGCACGGGUGAGUAACACGUAUCCAACCUGCCGAUGACUCGGGGAUAGCCUUUCGAAAGAAAGAUUAAUACCCGAUGGCAUAGUUCUUCCGCAUGGUAGAACUAUUAAAGAAUUUCGGUCAUCGAUGGGGAUGCGUUCCAUUGGGUUGUUGGCGGGGUAACGGCCCACCAAGCCUUCGAUGGAUAGGGGUUCUGAGAGGAAGGUCCCCCACAUUGGAACUGAGACACGGUCCAAACUCCUACGGGAGGCAGCAUG
Molecule: ribosomal RNA, 267 nt
Filed under: uncultured bacterium
Lineage: Bacteria
Description: partial 16S ribosomal RNA
Rfam family: Bacterial small subunit ribosomal RNA
Source: RNAcentral